This is a long non-coding RNA of Vigna angularis (adzuki bean), 291 nucleotides long. RefSeq lists it as uncharacterized. Lineage: Eukaryota; Viridiplantae; Streptophyta; Magnoliopsida; Fabales; Fabaceae. The record is from RefSeq and is a predicted model, not a curated record. The transcript has 2 exons.
AAAAAUAUAAAAUUACCUGAGAAGCUGCAAGCCACUGAAUUAUGGUCUUUACUUCAGGAUCUCCUCCAAAGGCGCCACAUCCCCAGUUUCCAGUUGCAACCCCAAUGUUAUCAACCUGAUCCAUGCAAUGGAAAAAACAUCGGAAAAGACCAACCAGUGAAGAUGAACAUCCAUUCUCUUGCAAUUUUUUCUGAUAUAGUUGAUAUUCACAUUGGUACAGAAAACCACAGAAUGCUUUAUUGAUCUCACUGCAAAAAUGAACAUGUUCAGUUUAGAUUUUAUUUUACUUAA